GAUGAACGCUGGCGGCGUGCCUAAUACAUGCAAGUCGAGCGAACGGACGAGAAGCUUGCUUCUCUGAUGUUAGCGGCGGACGGGUGAGUAACACGUGGAUAACCUACCUAUAAGACUGGGAUAACUUCGGGAAACCGGAGCUAAUACCGGAUAAUAUUUUGAACCGCAUGGUUCAAAAGUGAAAGACGGUCUUGCUGUCACUUAUAGAUGGAUCCGCGCUGCAUUAGCUAGUUGGUAAGGUAACGGCUUACCAAGGCAACGAUGCAUAGCCGACCUGAGAGGGUGAUCGGCCACACUGGAACUGAGACACGGUCCAGACUCCUACGGGAGGCAGCAGUAGGGAAUCUCCCGCAAUGGGCGAAAGCCUGACGGAGCAACGCCGCGUGAGUGAUGAAGGUCUUCGGAUCGUAAAACUCUGUUAUUAGGGAAGAACAUAUGUGUAAGUAACUGUGCACAUCUUGACGGUACCUAAUCAGGAAGCCACGGCUAACUACGUG
RNAcentral lists this ribosomal RNA (497 nucleotides) under uncultured bacterium. Its description in RNAcentral is "partial 16S ribosomal RNA". It matches the Rfam family "Bacterial small subunit ribosomal RNA", at positions 28 to 507 of the family's 1533-position model. The record is from RNAcentral.